This 650-nucleotide unclassified non-coding RNA is filed under the name Hevea brasiliensis (rubber tree). The record is from RNAcentral. Lineage: Eukaryota; Viridiplantae; Streptophyta; Magnoliopsida; Malpighiales; Euphorbiaceae.
UCGAGUUCUCCUUGAUGCCCCCUGUUCAGCUCUUGGUUUGCGACCUAGACUUUUUGCUGGAGAGGAAACUGUAGGAUCCUUAAGAAAUCAUGCGAAGUAUCAGAGGAGAAUGUUUGACCAGGCUGUUAAACUAGUUCGCCCUGGUGGAGUUAUUGUGUAUUCCACAUGCACAAUAAACCCUGGUGAGAAUGAAGCACUGGUACGAUAUGCUUUGGAUACAUAUAAGUUCCUCUCCUUAGCACAACAGCACCCAAGGAUUGGAGGACCUGGCCUUAUUGGUGGUCAUGAAUUUCCUGAUGGAUACGUGGAGGAGUGGUUAAGACCUGGAGAAGAAGAACUUGUUCAGAGGUUUGAUCCAUCAUCUUCCCUUGACACAAUUGGAUUUUUCAUAGCCAAGUUUGUGGUUGGCCCCAAAAAUAUUUAAACUUUGGGAAAAUAUUACUUCCCAUUGAGAUCUGAAUCAGGUAGGGUGGUAGGAAAAAAUUAUGGAAAUGUUCUCAUUAUCUCUGCUUAAGACGAUCAUGUGUAGCAGAGGCGAAGAGCGGAGCAUCUUCAUGCCUAUAUGAUGCAGAAAUCAUGAAGAGAAUGGUUAGUAUUUUACAUUCAAUUAUUUUCACCCUUCAAAGGUUUACAAAAGGCUUAAUUCUCUG